Molecule: ribosomal RNA, 468 nt
Filed under: uncultured bacterium
Lineage: Bacteria
Description: partial 16S ribosomal RNA
Rfam family: Bacterial small subunit ribosomal RNA
Source: RNAcentral
GACGAACGCUGGCGGCGUGCCUAACACAUGCAAGUCGAACGGAAAGGCCCUGCGUUUGUGCGGUGAUCGGGUGGCGAACGCGGGAGUAACACGUGAGUAACCUGCCCUUGACUUUGGGAUAACUUCAGGAAACUGGGGUUAAUAUAGGACAGGAGAUCCUGCUGCAUGGUGGGGGUUGGAAAGUUUCGGCGGUUGGGGAUGGACUAGCGGCUUAUCAGCUUGUUGGUGGGGUAGUGGCUUACCAAGGCUUUGACGGGUAGCCGGCCUGAGAGGGUGACCGGCCACAAUGGGACUGAGAUACGGCCCAGACUGCAACGGGGGGCAGCAGUGGGGAAUAUUGCACAAUGGGCGGAAGCCUGUUGCAGCAACGCCGCGUUCGGAAUGACGGCCUUCGGGGUGUAAACCGCUUUCGCCUGUGACGAAGCGGGAGUGACGGUAAUGGGUAAAGAAGCACCGGCUAACUACGUG